UCCUCUGUAGUUCAGUCGGUAGAACGGCGGACUGUUAAUCCGUAUGUCACUGGUUCUAGUCCAGUCAGAGGAGCCA
This 76-nucleotide transfer RNA is filed under the name Escherichia coli. RNAcentral's name for it is "tRNA-Asn". It matches the Rfam family "tRNA". Rfam says of the family: Transfer RNA (tRNA) molecules are approximately 80 nucleotides in length. Their secondary structure includes four short double-helical elements and three loops (D, anti-codon, and T loops). RNAcentral also lists the same sequence under 4 other names. Lineage: Bacteria; Pseudomonadati; Pseudomonadota; Gammaproteobacteria; Enterobacterales; Enterobacteriaceae. The record is from RNAcentral.